RNAcentral lists this long non-coding RNA (577 nucleotides) under Panax ginseng (ginseng). RNAcentral describes it as "long non-coding RNA (PGIN_LNC014628)". Lineage: Eukaryota; Viridiplantae; Streptophyta; Magnoliopsida; Apiales; Araliaceae. The record is from RNAcentral.
UUAGUGCGUAGCUUAAGAAAUUAGCUACCUCGUGCUUAACUCCAGUAAUGCCCAUCACUUGGCAUAACCUUAUAUAUGUUAACGUGAUACUCCAUUUUAAAUUUCGUAGCAAUCGGAGUUGUAGAACUCCGUUUAUAGCGAUUUCCGUCGGAAAAUCACAAAUAUUUUAAUGGUCAUAACUUGGUCGUUUUAACUCGGAAUAAGCUCAUUUUUGGACACGAGCUACAUAUUAUCAUAUAUUUUCAUUUCCCAAAAGCCUGGAAUUUUUCUCAUUAACUAAAUGUCCAAAACAGCCCUUGGAAAAUUUUGGCCAGAAACUUUUUGCACUUUGGCAGUUUUGGAGUCCUUCACCAAAACUUAAAUAAAAGGAAAUAUGUAACUCCGAUUAAUGAUCCGUCAAUUUUGUUGGAUUCGUAUCUUUCCGAACUAUAGUUUUCAUAUAUCACAAUCCAUAUUUGGAUAUGUUUAGCUCCCGGAAUUUAGCCCGGAAGUGACUGCUCCAAAACUGUCCUUUUCACAAUUUUCUUAACUUUGUGUAGUUUGGUAAAAAUCCCAUAACUUGCUCCUCCGAUAUCGG